This 990-nucleotide long non-coding RNA is filed under the name Heterocephalus glaber (naked mole-rat). RNAcentral describes it as "lncRNA (ENSHGLG00000050021.1)". The record is from RNAcentral. Lineage: Eukaryota; Metazoa; Chordata; Mammalia; Rodentia; Bathyergidae.
GUCUACACUGGCCAGGGUUCUGGGUAUAGUUGUGCCAGGUCACAGGCUGUCAACUUUGAAAAAGCCCUUGGUGCCCUCUCAUGACAUGGGUGUAAAUCCCCAAACAGGGCUGGACUCAUAGCUUCCCAGAAGUGAUAGUUUCUUUUCCUCAUCGACGAGGGUUUACAGUCAGGGAAACAGAGGGUAGAAAUGGGCAGUACCCACCCAAAGCUGUUCCUCUCUGGGUUCUCUGGAUUUGUCCAAAGGAGAAUAAGUUCACCGUUGUCACCCCUCACCCCAAACAAAAGCCACAAACAUGCUAGGGGGCCCCAGAAUGCUCCAUGGGAAAUCCAGGCCUCAGCAGCAACCUGGAAAAGGCCCAGACCACCACCUGCCCGAGAGGCCCACCACACUGGAGGCAGGACCACGGUCCCCUAUUUGAUCUCUGCCAACAGUUGGACUCUCUGCCUCUUGCUGUGUCUGUUUCUACCUGUCACCAUUUUUUUAAGGGGCAAAGUUUUAAUUGGCUCACAGCUGUCACCGUUCUUGUCUCCCCAGGGGUUUGGUUACCAGUAUCAGCCCCAUCACACCCAGAGCACCCGCCUGGCCAAGGGACCGGGCUCUUGUUUCUGGUGCAGGAGGCACAGGUUUCACAGCGAGGAUGCCUGAGGAGCUUGUGCAGAUGUCUGCCUUAGCUCCCUCAUGGUGACAGAGUGGCCCUGGGAUGCCUUUCUGGAGGCUACAGGGUGGAGGAGGGAACUUCAUGGAGGCAUCUGGGUUGGAGCACAAGGCUGGAGGAGUUGCAAUGGAAGUGUUCUGUGAAGCCUAACUCGGUUCCUGAACAAGCAGCGAGGACCCUGCUACUGCAAGGCAGGCGGCAGAACCACUGAGCCAAACCCCGGCCCCUGACAGGAUUUUCUCUUCAGAUCUACCAUGCAGACCUCCUCAUCUGUCAAGGACUACUCCCUCCCCAGCCCUGAGGCUGACCGUGGAUCUCUCAGAAUAAAGGCC